Transfer RNA from Ipomoea nil (Japanese morning glory), 74 nucleotides. It matches the Rfam family "tRNA". Rfam says of the family: Transfer RNA (tRNA) molecules are approximately 80 nucleotides in length. Their secondary structure includes four short double-helical elements and three loops (D, anti-codon, and T loops). The record is from Rfam. Lineage: Eukaryota; Viridiplantae; Streptophyta; Magnoliopsida; Solanales; Convolvulaceae.
GAUCGCAUAGCCCAGUGGAUUAGCGCGUCUGACUUUGAAUCAGAUGGUCUUGAGUUCAACUCCCACUGUGGUCG